This 450-nucleotide ribosomal RNA is filed under the name uncultured bacterium. Its description in RNAcentral is "partial 16S ribosomal RNA". It matches the Rfam family "Bacterial small subunit ribosomal RNA", at positions 354 to 796 of the family's 1533-position model. The record is from RNAcentral.
GUGGGGAAUAUUGGACAAUGGGCGCAAGCCUGAUCCAGCCAUGCCGCGUGUGUGAAGAAGGCCUUCGGGUUGUAAAGCACUUUUGUCCGGGAAGAAAUCUUCCAGGUUAAUACCCUGGGAGGCUGACGGUACCGGAAGAAUAAGCACCGGCUAACUUCGUGCCAGCAGCCGCGGUAAUACGAAGGGUGCAAGCGUUACUCGGAAUUACUGGGCGUAAAGCGUGCGUAGGUGGUUCGUUAAGUCUGCCGUGAAAGCCCCGGGCUCAACCUGGGAAUGGCGGUGGAUACUGGCGGGCUAGAGUGCGGUAGAGGGUGGUGGAAUUCCCGGUGUAGCAGUGAAAUGCGUAGAGAUCGGGAGGAACAUCUGUGGCGAAGGCGGCCAUCUGGACCAGCACUGACACUGAGGCACGAAAGCGUGGGGAGGAAACAGGAUUAGAUACCCCAGUAGUCC